ACAUACGACCAUAGGAUCAAGUACAUAGCGCUUCCCGUUUGCUCAGCGGUACUCAAGCUUGAUACCGGCGGAUUAGUAGUUGCGUGGGUGACCAGCAGCGAAUCCCUGCUGUUGUAUGUU
Clohesyomyces aquaticus is the source of this 120-nucleotide ribosomal RNA. The record is from Rfam. Lineage: Eukaryota; Fungi; Ascomycota; Dothideomycetes; Pleosporales; Lindgomycetaceae.